GGGGCUGUGGCUGAGUGGCAGGGCAUCUGCUUGGCGUGCGGAAGGCCCUGGACUCCCGGGUUCAAUCCUCCGCAUCUCCA
RNAcentral lists this transfer RNA (80 nucleotides) under Sphaerodactylus townsendi. Its description in RNAcentral is "tRNA-Ala". Lineage: Eukaryota; Metazoa; Chordata; Lepidosauria; Squamata; Sphaerodactylidae. The record is from RNAcentral.